Molecule: ribosomal RNA, 250 nt
Filed under: uncultured bacterium
Lineage: Bacteria
Description: partial 16S ribosomal RNA
Rfam family: Bacterial small subunit ribosomal RNA
Source: RNAcentral
UACGAAGGGGGCUAGCGUUGCUCGGAAUCACUGGGCGUAAAGGGUGCGUAGGCGGUUUGUCGCGUCGGGAGUGAAUCCACUGGCUUAACUGGUGGCUUGCUUCGAUACGGCAGACUGGAGGUAUGCAGGGGAGAACGGAAUUCCUGGUGUAGCGGUGAAAUGCGCAGAUAUCAGGAGGAACACCUGUGGCGAAAGCGGCUCACUGGACCACAACUGACGCUGAUGCACGAAAGCUAGGGGAGCAAACAGG